AUGUUGGACGUCGGACAAAUUAUAGAGACGACUCUGCUACACCCAGCGGCGUGCCCGUUCUGCGACCAGGAGCCAGAAAUGAUUGAUCACCUGCUCCUUGAAUGUGUUCUCGCUCGGCAAGUUUGGGCCGUCAUCAUGGAUAACUGGGAAAAGCCUCACUGGACACCGGAGCCGGAGGCUGAACUCGUGGGAUGGUGGACCUCCCUCAAUAUUCAGAAGAACAAAAGAAAAGAAACAUGGACGGUGGUCACUCUAGUGGCUUGGACACUGUGGAAACACAGGAAUGACAUUGUGUUUAACGGAGCUUCACCUUCCGUGAAUGAGGUUCUGCGACGUUCGAAGCAGAGGGACAAAACUGGAGGGCUGCGGCACUGUUGCGGGAGGCAGGAUCGCUCCCAGUCAGGAUAG
RNAcentral lists this ribosomal RNA (408 nucleotides) under Triticum aestivum (bread wheat). Its description in RNAcentral is "partial small subunit ribosomal RNA". Lineage: Eukaryota; Viridiplantae; Streptophyta; Magnoliopsida; Poales; Poaceae. The record is from RNAcentral.